GGGUCUACCCAGCUGCGUAAACCCCGCUGCGUAAACACAGCUGGGUAUACGCAGCUGCGUAAACCC
This 66-nucleotide microRNA precursor is filed under the name Human gammaherpesvirus 8. RNAcentral describes it as "microRNA kshv-mir-K12 precursor (kshv-mir-K12-9)". Its record names the gene kshv-mir-K12-9. The record is from miRBase by way of RNAcentral. Lineage: Duplodnaviria; Heunggongvirae; Peploviricota; Herviviricetes; Herpesvirales; Orthoherpesviridae.